Molecule: ribosomal RNA, 450 nt
Filed under: uncultured bacterium
Lineage: Bacteria
Description: bacterial SSU rRNA
Rfam family: Bacterial small subunit ribosomal RNA
Source: RNAcentral
AACGAACGCUGGCGGCAUGCCUAACACAUGCAAGUCGAACGAGACCUUCGGGUCUAGUGGCGCACGGGUGCGUAACGCGUGGGAAUCUGCCCCUUGGUUCGGAAUAACUUCGGGAAACUGAAGCUAAUACCGGAUAAUGACGUAAGUCCAAAGAUUUAUCGCCAAGGGAUGAGCCCGCGUAGGAUUAGCUAGUUGGUGGGGUAAAGGCUCACCAAGGCGACGAUCCUUAGCUGGUCUGAGAGGAUGAUCAGCCACACUGGGACUGAGACACGGCCCAGACUCCUACGGGAGGCAGCAGUGGGGAAUAUUGGACAAUGGGCGAAAGCCUGAUCCAGCAAUGCCGCGUGAGUGAUGAAGGCCUUAGGGUUGUAAAGCUCUUUUGCCAGGGAAGAUGAUGACUGUACCUGGAGAAUAAGCCCCGCGUAACUUCGUGCCAGCAGCCGCGGUAAU